RNAcentral lists this ribosomal RNA (460 nucleotides) under uncultured bacterium. RNAcentral's name for it is "partial 16S ribosomal RNA". It matches the Rfam family "Bacterial small subunit ribosomal RNA", at positions 338 to 795 of the family's 1533-position model. The record is from RNAcentral.
CCUACGGGUGACAGCAGUGAGGAAUAUUGGUCAAUGGACGAGAGUCUGAACCAGCCAAGUAGCGUCAAGGAUGACUGCCCUAUGGGUUGUAAACUUCUUUUAUAUGGGAAUAAAAUGUUCCACGUGUGGGAUUUUGUAUGUACCAUAUGAAUAAGGAUCGGCUAACUCCGUGCCAGCAGCCGCGGUAAUACGGAGGAUCCGAGCGUUAUCCGGAUUUAUUGGGUUUAAAGGGAGCGUAGGUGGAUUGUUAAGUCAGUUGUGAAAGUUUGCGGCUCAACCAUAAAAUUGCAGUUGAAACUGGCAGUCUUGAGUACAGUAGAGGUGGGCGGAAUUCGUGGUGUAGCGGUGAAAUGCUUAGAUAUCACGAAGAACUCCGAUUGCGAAGGCAGUUCACUGGACUGCAACUGACACUGAGGCUCGAAAGUGUGGGUAUCAAACAGGAUUAGAUACCCUGGUAGUC